This 1977-nucleotide unclassified non-coding RNA is filed under the name uncultured fungus. RNAcentral's name for it is "sequence contains 18S rRNA gene, ITS1, 5.8S rRNA gene, ITS2, 28S rRNA gene". The stretch from base 793 to 1977 matches the Rfam family "Eukaryotic large subunit ribosomal RNA", at positions 1 to 961 of the family's 3401-position model. Lineage: Eukaryota; Fungi. The record is from RNAcentral.
GGAGGGAUCAUCAAAGAACAAUCUACCAAGUGUUGGGGGGCGAGGGCAACCUCCUCUCCCGGCACUUCAAACAAACGAUCACAACUAUGCGUUUUAUUGUCUGGGGGGAAGCAGUUUGAAAAAGUGUUUGCCUGAUAAUUGGUUGACUUAGAUAUAGCAUACAACUUUCAACAACGGAUCUCUUGGCUCUCACAUCGAUGAAGAACAUAGCAAAGUGUGAAAAUUAAUGUGAAUUGCAGAAUUCAGUGAAUCAUUGAGUUUUUGAACGCAUCUUGCACUCCUUGGUAUUCCAGGGAGUAUGCCUGGUUGAGUAAUGUGAACAUAUCUAUCAGUUUUCUCUUGAGGAGACUGGAGCUGAGUGGUUUACCUUGCCUGCCGCCUGUUUCUCUGGGGGGCCAUCCAUGGCGCUUUCGAGAGAUAGGGGGCGAAAGCAGGGUUCACUUGAAAUGAAGGGAAAGAGACAACAGGGCUUUGGGCAUGCUAUUAUUGUAGCAGGCAGUCAAAAGACAAGCGCGCGAGACCUUUUCCUCUCAUUGAGAGGAGAGGGGAUCCAGGAGAUUGGCUUGAUCAUAACAAUGGCUUGAUGAAUGUGAGCGGAAACGUUCUUUCUAAGGCCUUGUUUAGAGCCUGCUUCUCUGCGAGUCUGAAGAUCUGUUCCAGCCUCGGGCUCUUUCCACAACUAGGAAAUGUGGGUGGCUAUGGGGGCGGGCGUGUGUGGGAACGGAAUGGAUUCUCUGCAAUCCGCUCCCUCUCACCAGCAAUCGUCACUGCCACCACCACCACCAUCAUCAUCAUUCUCAACUCAGGCAAGACUACCCGCUGAAUUUAAGCAUAUAAAUAAGCGGAGGAAAAGAAACUAACAAGGAUUCCCUCAGUAACUGCGAGUGAAGCGGGAAAAGCUCAACUUUGAAAUCUACCAAGAGUAACAUUCUUGGUCGAAUUGUAGUUUCAAGAAAGAAUGGCUGAGCGGAAGUCAGUUGGAUGCAAGUUCCUUGGAAUGAGACAUCAGAGAGGGUGACAAUCCCGUUCACCGUCCUCCUGCCACUUCCUCACAGAAAGGCCUUCUUUUCAAAGAGUCGAGUUGUUUGGGAUUGCAGCUCAAAAUGGGUGGUAAAUUUCAUCUAAAGCUAAAUAUGGGUGAGAGACCGAUAGCGAACAAGUACCGUGAGGGAAAGAUGAAAAGCACUCUGAAGAGAGAGUGAAAAGUACGUGAAAUUGUUGAAAGGGAAACGCUUGAAACCAGUCAAGGCCUGCUGGAUGUCAGGAGGGUCUGUGUGCCGGGCGGGGCUGGAUGCAGCGAUGGAUCUCUCAUGGUCGACGCUGCGCCGGCGCCAGCGCGGCCGCGCUCUCUGCACGCUUCUAGCAGGCGAGUCAGCAUCAGUUUGGGACCCGGGAAAAAGCCAACAGGACCUGGUCAGGCACCCAGCGAGCCCCUUUCGGCUCCUGGGUGUCUGAGCCUGCUGGCACCAUACCGGGCCGGCCAGACUGAGGACUGCAGCACAGGGCAUUGCCUUGGACUAGACGGGCUUGCGGUGCCGCCUCGAGCAAACAGCUUGCUGAUUGCCCUUGGUGCAGCCACCCGAGACCGUCCUAUCCAAGCGGGCCCUGGCUCUGGAUGUUGACGAAAUGGUUUUAAACGACCCGUCUUGAAACACGGACCAAGGAGUCUAACAUGGAUGCAAGUAUUUGGGUGCUUGGAAACCCAUAUGCGCAAUGAAAGUGAACUCUUGAUGGGUAGGACGCCGGCGGCUCCGCGCCGCUGGCCGCACUAUCGACCAAUCUUUACUAGCUUCGGCUUGGUAGAUUUGAGUAAGAGCAUGCAUGCUGGGACCCGAAAGAUGGUGAACUAUGCCUGAAUAGGGUGAAGUCAGACGAAAGUCUGAUGGAAGCUCGCAGCGAUUCUGACGUGCAAAUCGAUCGUCGAAUUUGGGUAUAGGGGCGAAAGACUAAUCGAACCAUCUAGUAGCUGGUUCCUGC